CUGAGGGGUUGGACCCUGGCUGUCUUCUCUUGGCUUCCCUGGGCUCCACGAGAAAGCGUGUCUUCUGGAGGAAAAGCAAAACCUCAACAGCCUUAUUUUUGGAGCGCUGUGGACAUGACCAGACCUAUUAAUUACUUAAUUGAGGCACAGAGCUUUGAAGAUGAAAAGUACCGGAUGCACCUGACUUGAGGAAUGUGAUGGCUGUUUGGCUUUGAUGACCCUUUGGACAAGACCGACUCUUCCUGGGUGGCGUCUACAUCACAUUACUGUCUUGGAGAAUAAAGGACAUGGGGAGAUGAGGAGUGGCCCUUGCAAAUGGAAUCAAGACACAGGUUCAUCUCAAAGCAUCCGUAUCAACAUGCCAAUCCUCAGAAACUCACUGUAAAGACACUGCGUGGGCUGGAGAGAUGACUCCGUGGAGAAAGCGCUCACCAUGCACACACAAGGACCUGAGUUUGACUUCCGGGAACCCAUGGAAAUCUAGGUGCGGCAGCAUGCACUUGUGAUCCUGCUGCUCCCGCAUGAAGACAGGAGGUGGAGCUCCUGUCUGUGUGACUCCGCAGCCUGCCCUGUGGGCCAUCCCACCCUGAUGUCCUUCCCAAUGCAUCUGUGACAAAGACCGGAUUUUUCAGCAUCACACCCGUGUGGUGUUGGGAUUAGGAGAGAUGGACUCUGCAUCCAGAAUGCCACUUCAUCCCUAAGUUACGUGCUGGGACUCUUUCUCUGUUCAAACCAUGAGGAGGAGACUGCUUGUCCCAGAGUAGAGUGGUCUCACAUGGUUGCUUAGCAAGUGAGGAAGUUACUAGUGGCCUUUAAAAUCUGGUCUCCUGCAGCCCCGGUCCUUAAACCACCAACGGUAGGGAAUUGAGAUUGUUUCCUUAGGGUGUUGAAGCUAGAAGUCAUUGCUACUGCUGUAGUAAACAAUGUCGUAUUGCAAAGGUUCUGUGCAUCCUGUGCUUUGAACACUCAUGGAGAAGCUGCCUUUUACGAGCCACAUGCACACUCAGCCUCGGCUCAGAAUAUUGCUUGUGUGGGAGAAUGCACUUCGUUAUGUACGAGUUCUAAACUAUAGCAUCCAGACAAUUCUUGGGACCCUGCCUGCCUGUUAUAAGGCGAGUCACUUCCUGUCCUGGGGCAUCUCCCCAGCUUUCCAUGUGAGCAUGGCUUAUUUACCCCUCAACUUGGUUAUGUUUCUAGUUGCUGUAGGCCUGGGCACGAUACUGUCAGGUGAACUCCCACAGCCCUCCAGUGACACCCCACCCUCUUACCUCCUCUUCAGCCUGGCAUCCUCAGUGCUGUUGGCAUCUCGACUUGUCCCAAAUGGGUCCCUAUCUAUUCUUUAGAGAGCCUUAAGGGCUUCUUGUUAAGACAGAGAAAAGAGGACAAUGAUAAAAGAAGAAUAAGGAAAAGAAGAAAGGAAGAGGCAGAACAGAAAAAAGAUAGAUGAGAACAGAAGACACACGGUGGGUGGUGGUGAACACAACAAAAUACCUCAACAGAAAGACCGAAGGAAAAGAAACCAAGGAAUGAUUUCUGCUAGUCUCCACAGAAGCCAUUUCUCAGCCAAAACGAGCAGAAAGAGGGGAAUAAGGAAGAGAAUUUGGGUGCUUAGCCUGACCAGGUGAUGACUUGGCAGGUGUGUCCCACAGUGGGCAGCUACAGCAAGUCCUCCCAGUCCUCAGCACAUGGCGCUGUGCUGGGGUGCAUGCUGUGGACAGACCUGAGCUGGGAAGUGUGGCAUGUGUCCUAAAUGGUCUUAAUAAAAACCCAGAG
Molecule: long non-coding RNA, 1773 nt
Organism: Peromyscus maniculatus bairdii (prairie deer mouse)
Lineage: Eukaryota; Metazoa; Chordata; Mammalia; Rodentia; Cricetidae
Source: RefSeq, a predicted model, not a curated record